CAGAGACCAAUGCUCUGCGAGUGCAGGACUCGCAGAGACCAAUGCCCUGCGAGUUCACGACUCACGGAGACCAAUGCCCUGCGAGUUGAAGACUGACUCACAGAGACCAAUGCUCUGCGAGUUCACGACACUCACGGAGACCAAUGCUCCGCGAGUGCAGGACUCGCUCGCAGGGACCAGUGCUCCGCGAAAAGUUCACUUGGCAAUCGCCCAGUGUAGCCGCCUGCAGGCGCCCAGGCUGGAGCAUCCAGUCCGGAGCGCGAUCUCGGGCAACUGAGGCCGCACCGGGCAACCGAGAACGCAGCACCGCCAGCGACGCCAUGGCCGCGUUCGCGGUUACCGGGCAACCGCGGAACCCUCGAUUGGACACACAAGCAGCAGAAGUCAUUUCCUGGUGUCAUGGUUUACCACCUCAUCAGCAGCCAGGAAUUAGUGCUCCAGAAGACUGACAUUAUCACAGGCUGUAUUUCUCUUUGGCAUUCUCUUUCAGAACACAGAUGUGCUAAAAAAACCCACA
Long non-coding RNA from Prinia subflava (tawny-flanked prinia), 517 nucleotides. RefSeq lists it as uncharacterized. Lineage: Eukaryota; Metazoa; Chordata; Aves; Passeriformes; Cisticolidae. The transcript has 2 exons. The record is from RefSeq and is a predicted model, not a curated record.